UUGGAGGGCAAGUCUGGUGCCAGCAGCCGCGGUAAUUCCAGCUCCAAUAGCGUAUAUUAAAGUUGUUGCAGUUAAAAAGCUCGUAGUUGAACUUCGGGGUCUACCCAUUGGUCAGGCUUAAUUGUCUGCACUGGUGAGAUGGAUCUCUACCUUCUGAGGAACUUUCAUGCCAUUUAUUUAGUGUGAUGGGAAAUCAGGACUGUUACUUUGAAAAAAUUAGAGUGUUUAAAGCAGACUAUCGUCUGAAUACAUUAGCAUGGAAUAAUGAAAUAGGACGGACUGAUUCUAUUUCGUUGGUUUCUAGGAUUGACGUAAUGAUUAAUAGGGAUAGUUGGGGGCAUUAGUAUUCAAUUGUCAGAGGUGAAAUUCUUGGAUUUAUUGAAGACUAACUACUGCGAAAGCAUUUGCCAAGGAUGCUUUCAUUAAUCAAGAACGAAAGUUAGGGGAUCGAAGACGAUCAGAUACCGUCGUAGUCUUAACCAUAAACUAUGCCGACUAGGGAUCGGAUGAUGUUAAUUUUUUAAUGACUCAUUCGGCGCCUUACGGGAAAC
This 551-nucleotide ribosomal RNA is filed under the name uncultured Diversispora. RNAcentral describes it as "SSU rRNA". It matches the Rfam family "Eukaryotic small subunit ribosomal RNA", at positions 548 to 1098 of the family's 1831-position model. Lineage: Eukaryota; Fungi; Glomeromycota; Glomeromycetes; Diversisporales; Diversisporaceae. The record is from RNAcentral.